GAUGAACGCUGGCGGCGUGCUUAACACAUGCAAGUCGAACGGAAAGGCCCAAGCUUGCUUGGGUACUCGAGUGGCGAACGGGUGAGUAACACGUGGGUGAUCUGCCCUGCACUUCGGGAUAAGCCUGGGAAACUGGGUCUAAUACCGGAUAGGACCACUUCUUGGAUGUUGUGGUGGGAAGUUUUUUCGGUGUGGGAUGAGCUCGCGGCCUAUCAGCUUGUUGGUGGGGUAAUGGCCUACCAAGGCGUCGACGGGUAGCCGGCCUGAGAGGGUGUACGGCCACAGUGGGACUGAGAUACGGCCCAGACUCCUACGGGAGGCAGCAGUGGGGAAUAUUGCACAAUGGGCGCAAGCCUGAUGCAGCGACGCCGCGUGGGGGAUGACGGCCUUCGGGUUGUAAACUCCUUUCGCUAGGGACGAAGCGUUUUGUGACGGUACCUGGAGAAGAAGCACCGGCUAACUACGUG
RNAcentral lists this ribosomal RNA (467 nucleotides) under uncultured bacterium. RNAcentral describes it as "partial 16S ribosomal RNA". It matches the Rfam family "Bacterial small subunit ribosomal RNA", at positions 28 to 507 of the family's 1533-position model. The record is from RNAcentral.